Crepidotus variabilis is the source of this 115-nucleotide non-coding RNA. NCBI's taxonomy places the organism in Eukaryota, Fungi, Basidiomycota, Agaricomycetes, Agaricales, Crepidotaceae. The record is from the annotation of a GenBank genome assembly.
GGCAAGAUGGCCGAGCGGUUAAGGCGUGUGACUCAAGCAUUAGCUUGCCCAGUUUCUGGGUUCAAAGUCUUCUCAUAGACGUAUGUCUGCGUGGGUUCAAGUCCCACUCUUGUCA